This 230-nucleotide ribosomal RNA is filed under the name uncultured bacterium. RNAcentral's name for it is "partial 16S ribosomal RNA". It matches the Rfam family "Bacterial small subunit ribosomal RNA", at positions 524 to 751 of the family's 1533-position model. The record is from RNAcentral.
UACGGAGGGGGCUAGCGUUGUUCGGAAUUACUGGGCGUAAAGCGCGCGUAGGCGGACCUGCAAGUCGGGGGUGAAAGCCCGAGGCUCAACCUUGGAACUGCCUUCGAUACUGCGGGUCUCGAGUCCGGGAGAGGUGAGUGGAAUUCCUAGUGUAGAGGUGAAAUUCGUAGAUAUUAGGAAGAACACCAGUGGCGAAGGCGGCUCACUGGCCCCGGUACUGGACGCUGAGG